Molecule: long non-coding RNA, 2013 nt
Organism: Ipomoea triloba (trilobed morning glory)
Lineage: Eukaryota; Viridiplantae; Streptophyta; Magnoliopsida; Solanales; Convolvulaceae
Exons: 2
Source: RefSeq, a predicted model, not a curated record
GCCUCCAUCGGUCUGCCCCCGUCUGCGAAUAACCAAGCUAAAAUUCCUGCGAAGGAUAUUCUAGGGUUUCUAGCUCAUUCACUGCAAUUUCACACGCAAGGAUAUUCUAGGAUAUUCUUCGACAAUCUCACACGCAUUUCUUGGAUCAGUGUAAGAAAUUAGUCUGGAAACAGACUAAUUUCAACAUGCACUCACAUUUCAGUACACAUUGUUGACACUCUCCACAAAAUAAACGGAAGGAUGAGAGGAUAUCAAGAAGACUCUCCGGCAUUCCGUCGAUUCCGUCUCCGAGCUCAGGUCUUUCUCUACAGUUCUUCCUCUCCCGAAUGCAUACACAAACAUCACAGCAAUUGAGCAAAAGGUUGCAAAUCACUGAGUAAGUAAUAAUUUCAGAUUAUUUGAAUAAAAAAAAGCAGGUAUGUUUCCACAUUACCGUCUCCUUCAACCUGCAAUUUCCUUUUUCCACAAAUGAUAUCUGUACUCUUCAGUUUUUGCAUUGUUGUUGAUAUUGCUUGAUAUGUAUUUGGAGGCAAUUGAAUUUAUAUUCCAGUAAAUAGGAAAUAGAAAUCUGGUUCAUUAAAUGUUAGGUAUAUAUAGAUACAAAUUCUAUACUUGUAUAGAAGUCACUAUAAAAAAUUAAGCUAAGAAGUCAAACCUUACCAUUGCUUGACAAUAGGAAUAGGUGUAUGGCUAGUAUUGGGUAUUGUGUAACUUGUAUUCUACUCAAAUACUUUUCAGUGUUUUUGUUGUUAUAAUUUUUAUAUCAGCAGAUAAAUAUUCAAAAAUAGAGUCAAAUGAUGAAAAAAGGAGGGUGAUGCCAAUUUUUUCAUGUGUUGCAGCCACAGAUCAAAAUCAGAUUUGUGUGUGUGUGUGAGACUUUAUGUAGAUAAGUUAGGCUUUAGACACCCUCUCUAUUUAACUUAAUGAAUGUAUUGAUUUAAUGUGACUACUUGUGUGUUUUCAAAAAAAAUGUGACUACUUGUAACUAUCUUGUCCAAAUUGUAUGUGAUUUUGAAGUUAAAUACACAACUUGUUGCAUAAAAAAUUACUUUUUAAGUAGCAAAUGAUGACAAAGGAGUCUAAUGCUUUUUUUUUGGGUCACACAUUUGACUUUUCUGUAUUCAUUUAAAACUGAUAAUGUCAUAUUUGAAUUACUUUAAUUUGAACUGAAAAUUUGAUAGAUUGAAUCAUUAUCUGUUAGAUAUAUAUGUGAAUGGUAUUCUACUGAUAGUUUACACCAAAUGUAACCUUAAAAUCAUCCAUAGAUAACUUUAGCAUUUAAGCACAUAUUACAAUAGAAUGGACAAUGAUAACUCUAGGAUAAAUGAAUACCUGUUUCAUGAAGUAUAUCUGUUCAAUAGAAGUGAAAACUGCAUGAUUAGCCAGAACUGCAGUAGACAGAACACCAUAACCAAGCCUAGAGGCAGAAUGUAUACACCUUAACAGUGUCAGAUUAUAGCUACAAACAGAAAAGAAGACACAGUUUAGAAACUGGAAAAUCAUACAGUAGUAUAACUAAAACAGCAAUAGCUGUUAACUCACAUGUUCUUCAAUGGAAAUGAACAUACCCUACAUUUAAAAGGAAAUGAAAAAAAAAUAAUUUGAUAGGAAGAAUAUAAGGUAAAUAAUGAUAGCAUCCUAGUAUAAAAAGAUCAAACCUGUUAUACUGGAAAACACAUUCAUGGCUUAACUUUUUCUGAUUUCAUUUCAGUGACAACAUACUUACAGCAACCUUAUUGCCUUGGUGGUUCGUUGAGGAUGAAGCUGUGCAGUAUUAACUGCCCAGACAUGGUGGACAAUAUCCAGCAACAAAACAACUGAUGUUCAAUACUUGUACUUUCUGUGCAAUUCGAAGUUCCAAAGCUCUAAGAUGAUGUUGUCUAGUUCUCUAAAUUUGUGUGUAAAUAGCUGUGAAGUAUAUGUAUUUAUAGAGGUAAAAGCAGGUUUGUAAAAUUAAAAAAAAUAUAUACAUAAACAGUACUUUCAAUGUAUCCCAUCAGCAGUGCAGCCCCA